ACUGUACGGGAGGCAGCAGUGGGGAAUUUUGGACAAUGGGCGCAAGCCUGAUCCAGCCAUUCCGCGUGCAGGAUGAAGGCCCUCGGGUUGUAAACUGCUUUUGUACAGAACGAAAAAGGCCUGGCUAAUAUCUGGGUCUCAUGACGGUACUGUAAGAAUAAGCACCGGCUAACUACGUGCCAGCAGCCGCGGUAAUCAGU
RNAcentral lists this ribosomal RNA (200 nucleotides) under uncultured bacterium. RNAcentral's name for it is "partial 16S ribosomal RNA". It matches the Rfam family "Bacterial small subunit ribosomal RNA", at positions 335 to 528 of the family's 1533-position model. The record is from RNAcentral.